UACGGGGGGGGUAAGCGUUGUUCGGAAUUACUGGGCGUAAAGGGUCUGUAGGUGGCCAACUAAGUCAGACGUGAAAUCCCUCAGCUUAACUCCGAAACUGCAUUCGAUACUGCCGUGCUUGAGGACUGGAGAGGAGACUGGAAUUUACGGUGUAGCGGUGAAAUGCGUAGAUAUCGUAAGGAAGACCAGUGGCGAAGGCGGGUCUCUGGACAGUUCCUGACGCUGAGGCACGAAGGUCAGGGGAGCAAACGGG
RNAcentral lists this ribosomal RNA (253 nucleotides) under uncultured bacterium. RNAcentral's name for it is "partial 16S ribosomal RNA". It matches the Rfam family "Bacterial small subunit ribosomal RNA", at positions 524 to 776 of the family's 1533-position model. The record is from RNAcentral.